This is a long non-coding RNA of Canis lupus familiaris (dog), 2071 nucleotides long. RefSeq lists it as uncharacterized. The record is from RefSeq and is a predicted model, not a curated record. NCBI's taxonomy places the organism in Eukaryota, Metazoa, Chordata, Mammalia, Carnivora, Canidae. The transcript has 8 exons.
GGGCAGCCAAGGUUCCCAGGUCCGGGGGGCGGGGGGAGGGGGGGGCAUCCCAAACCCGGGAGGCCAUGGGCCGGCUCUGAAGGAAAGGAAGGCCUACACCAUCCCCCGCAGAUGCUGGAAGGCCGAGGAGCUCUGCUCGCUGGGAGCCAUGAGAGUCUGGAGAAAGGUCUUUAAGGACUCGAAGUUUCAAGUUUAUUUGAAGAACCUAUAGAGAAGGUCUCAAGAAAUCCCUGCAGAAGGAUCCUAAUAUUAUUCCCUCAUUUGGUACCAGUGACUCCAAACACAAACUUCUGAAUAUAGGUAACAAGGAAACAAGAGAUAAUAGAAUAAAAACAGUGACCGAAGCACCAGCUUUCAGAGUGCUUGCCUCUUAACUAAGAACUCCUGUGGAUCUGAAUACAAUGACAAGUUCAUUUCUGUAAGCCAUGCGCUGAAGCAUGGUAAUGCACAAAUUUUACAUUUCCUGCCAUUUGUCCACUCUUCUGGUGGCAAGAAAAAUGUGUUUCUGAUAAAUUUCUGAGUAUGAACUAAUCUGAAUUCAAUUUGGCCACUUGCAAGACUCAGGUCUUCUGUUUACCAGCUCUCUCACCUGUAAGAACUAUAAAAGAUAAAAGCUCAAAAUGUUACCUUUUAAAUACCAUCUGGAACUGAGCUUGGCUGAUACCCAUACUAUGAGGUUCUUCUGGAUGAUAUACCUCUUCAGCUGAGGUUUUCCUCUAUUGCAACAAGGAAUUUAGACUUGGGUGGAAAUGCUGGAAUGUAGGGAUGUCAACAAAUGGCCAGUAAACAUUGAGGAGAUCACCGAAGAACAUCGUAGAAAGAACACUAUGGCUCCAGCUAACACCAACAUUGAAGAAGCAUGUGGAGGAAGCAGCAGGAGCCAGUAGUUUACAUUAACGGCGCAGAAUCCCAGAAAGCUUUAGACGUGGCAAGAUGCAAAGAGAUCCCCAUGACUUUCUCAGAACCUUGAACUAUGCCAAGCAAAACGAAGCACAGAAGGCCUCUCUGAAGCAACCAAAGGUCUAUUUUUCCAAAGAAAUGUAAGCUCAGGAGGACAUCUAUCCUGUGGCCAUGUGGGACCUCUGCUUUAGAUGGCAAGAGGCAAGGGUGGACAGAUUAAGGGAAGAACAAAGAACCGCCGGGAAAGCUGCAGAUGAAAAGCUUACUUGGCAAGUCUCUCCUUGCAUUUCCCAACCCCAUUCUUUUGCUUGGAUAUCUGGCACGGGACCCACCUCCUCCACAGUGUUCUUUUGUCGUCCCCAGCUUAUUUUCUUUCUCUUCUUUCAGAUAAUUAUAAAUUUACCUCCUUUUGCAUAGUAGCAUACUGCCUUGUCUUCUCAUUUAGAUAUGCAUUUUGUUUGGGAAAGAACUCUUGCUUUUUUAAAAAAAAUUGUGGUAAAAUAUACAUAAUAGGAAAUUUACAAUUGUAACCAUUUUAAGUAUACAGUCUAGUGACAUUAAGUACAUUCAUUCACAGGAUUGUACAACCAUCACCACUACAUAUUUCCAGAAAUUGUUAUCACCCCAAACAGAAACUCUGCCCAUUAAACACUAAUCGCUCCUUGCCACGUCCUACCCAGCCCUAGUAAACUGGAUUCUAUUUCCAUCUCUCUGAAUUUGGCUAAGCUAGAUACUUCAUUUAAGUGGACUCACAUUUUUCCUUUCAUAUUUGGCUUAUUUUGCUUAGUGAAAUAUUUUCAUAAUUCAUCCAUAUGAUAGCAUGCAUCAAAAAUUCAUUUCUUGUUAUGGCCUAGUAAUAUUUCAUUGUAUGUAUAUACCACAUUUUGCUUUUCCAUUCAGUCAUCUGUUGAUGGAUACAUGGGGUGUUUUCACUUUUCAACUACUGUGAAUAUCACCGCUGUAAACAUAGACAUGCAUCUGUUUGAAUCCCUGCCUUCAAUUCUUUUGGGUAUAUACCUAGGAUGGAAACAGCUGGAUCCUAUGGUAACUCUAUGCUUAACUUUCUGAGAAACUGCUAAUCUAGUUUUUUCAUAGUAGCUGCGCCACUUUACAUUCCCACAGCAAUGUAUGAGGAAUGUACAUUCCAAUUUCUCCAUAUCCUCACCAAAAC